Molecule: long non-coding RNA, 3320 nt
Organism: Piliocolobus tephrosceles (Ugandan red Colobus)
Lineage: Eukaryota; Metazoa; Chordata; Mammalia; Primates; Cercopithecidae
Source: Ensembl
ACGAAAAUGAGGAGUGCAUGCGUGAGUUAAUAAAUUAUUAUAAUUAUAUUUACAAAAAUUAUUAUGAAAAUGUCGUAAAUUUUUUUGAAGAUAACCCUAAUGAAAAAAUAUAUGCAAAUGAGAACUAUGUUUUAAAAUUGGACUUAUUAAAUAAAAGACAUAUAGAAGCAUUAUAUAAUAUUAGUAUAUUUUGUAUUUCAGAUAAGCUUAAAUAUUAUAUGUUACGAGGUGAUACAAACAAGAAUAAAGAGUUAAAUGGAGAUGAUCUAUUAGUAGGAGUAGAUCAAGAAGGAAAUAUUGAAAACAGAGGACUUAAAAAAAAUAUGUUUACAAAUGGUGGUAUUAGUAAUAAACAUAACAUAAAUUUGCAUGAUUUUGCAAAUAAAACUAAUUUUUUAGAAAAGAAUUCCCAAAUAUAUACUAAUGAUGAUAUAUUGACAAAUGGAAUAAAAAGAGAGGAGGAAUUUGAUAUAAUAAAAUAUAUAUUUUAUGUUAUGAGAUCAGUUGAACUUUCAUUAAAUUCAGACAAUCGUAAAUUAUCAUCUAUUUAUGUUUGUAUAAAAACUUAUUUUCUUCGAGAUGGUGUUAAUGAGAGUUAUUAUAAUAACAUUUAUUUAUUCACUUUAUGUUUACAUUAUUUGGAAUAUUUAACUAGUAACAUAGUUAUAUUUGACAUAAGAGAUACAGGAUAUGAGCAGUUAAAUUUAGCAACUGAAAAAGCUAAUAAUAAUACUACUAACAAUAUUACCAAUUCUAAUAUAUCCAAAAUAAAUAAUUUACAAAAUAAUAUAAAAAGAAAAUAUUCUUCUAGUUCAAAUUUUAGAAAUAAAUCUGUAUCAAAUGAUGGUAUAAGUACAGAUUUUGUUCAGAAUAAUGAAAUCGGCCAUAACAACAGUAAUAAUAGUAAUAAUAAAAAUAAUACGAACCAUUUUAGAAGCACAUCACUAAGAGACCAUAACUCUUUCAGAAUUUAUGCUAAUCAUAUCCAUUUUUAUAAAUUAUUUUUUUAUAUUUUAAAUUUUUUAAAUUAUUAUCUGGAAGAUAUGGUAAAAGAUAGCUCAUUGUUAUAUUCUGAUAUGAUGAAAGUGCAUGCUGAAAAUAAUGCACAUAAAAAUAAAAAAGAACCUAUGUUAGUAGCAUCUUCUAAUGCGUUACUAGGUGGUGGUGCCUCGAAUAGCAAUCAUAACCAUAGCAAUAGUAGUGCAUCAAAUUUUACAGAUGGUAAGAACGAUAUUUUUUUUUUAGGAAAAAAUAAAAUUUCCUAUAGUAACAUUUUAUUAAAAUGCACAAAUAUAAUUAAUAAUUUAAUGAAUUUAGAUGUUAUUCGAGAAAAGAUUAUGAACUCAAGCAAUGAUUUAAAUGAACUAAAAAUAUUUUUAUCGAAAUAUUAUAAAUAUUUAAAUGAAUACGAAGAUAUUGAAAUAUAUAAAAAUUUUUAUAUCAGUUUCUAUAAAACUUACAUUUUUAUAUUUCCCGAAGAAUUAGAAAAAGAAAAUUACUUUUCGCCUAUGUUACUUUUUGAAAAUAUAGUGAAUAAUGGUAAUAUAUUAAGAAUGAGAACUAUUGCAGAUACACUUAUAUUUUGUUUUAAUGAUAAAAAAUUUGUUUACUUUUUUGAAGAAAAUAUUAAUAUAACAAAAGUACUCUACAUAUUUGUUACUUAUGCUUCCAGAUUAUUAUCUCAUAAAUACUAUGAACUAAUAAUAAGUAUAUCGUUUCUUUUUUAUAUUAUUUUAAUUAAGUUUCCAAAUGUUUCUAUAACUAUAUUUCACAUCUUAAAUGAAAAUAAUGAUUAUAUAAUGAAAUAUAAUGAAGAUAAAAAAUUCAACUCCAUUUUUAAUAACAUAAACGAACAUAUAAAUAUGUUAUUUUUAUCAACUAUUAAUAAAAAUAAAAACUUAGCAACUAUCAAUUCUCUUAUUUUUUCCAAGUUGAUACAUUUAUAUUGUCAAUUCUGUGCUAAAAAAAAUAACUUAGAAACGAUUCAAAAUAAUACGCAUAAUAAUACUAAUUACACUGCGUAUGGUGGUAUUGGAGGACAAAUUAACACAAAUAAUAAUUACAGUUUAAGGAAUUUGAGCAGUUCAUAUUUAUACACGAAUGGGCAAAAUCCAAAUGGUACAAUAAACAAUUUAGGCAAAAAUUUAAAUACAAAUAACAAUAAUAAUAAUAAUAAUAAUAAUAUGAAUAAUUCCUAUGCGUCGAAUAUCGAAAACGAACAAAGUAAUAAAGGGCUAUAUAAAGAAAUAUUUUACACUGCAUUUGAUAAUAUAAAAAAAAAUGAAAAAAAUACAGUCAUAAAAUCUAUACUAAUGAAUUUACAUAUCACUCCAUCUGUUUAUUCAUCAAGUGCUACUUUUCCGACCGAAGAAAAUAUUGAAAAAACAAGAUAUAUUAUUGUCAUUAUUAAUUUUUUAUUUACUUUAAUGAAAACUAAAUUUUACGAAGUUAUACAUGAAAAUACUUUUGAAUACAUUGACUAUUUUAUUGAACAACUAAAAAAAAGUGUAAGCAUAAAAAAUAUUAAAUUAGUUUGUGGGUACAUAUCUCUUUUAUUAAAUUAUUCAUUGAAUAAGAAAACUAAUAACUUAAACGAAACGGCUGAUUUAAAAUCUAGUAUAUUUAUAAAAAAUAUUCAUUAUAAUAAUCAACCGAAUAUUAUUAAAAUACAUAAAGCUUUAUAUGAAUCUGGAGCACUAACAUUUUUGAUAUCCUCUUUAUAUGAUUCAAAGGAUUCGCUAAUUAUUUAUAAUUGUGUUUAUUCUAUAUCUUUUUUAUUAUAUAAAAAAUCUAUCUUAGAUUUUGAUAAAAACAUAGAACUGUCUAACAUGAAAAUAGCAAUUUUAAAUAUAGUUAGACAUUAUUAUAAUUUAGAUACCUAUAUGGAAACAUAUGCAGAAAAUUUUAUUGAUUAUAAAGGUUUUUUAAAAACCGGCCAUAACAAAAAAAAUUUAGCACUAAACGAAGAGGAUAGUAAUUAUAACAACUUGUUACAUAAAUUUAGUAAAAGAAAUACAUAUGAAUAUGAAGAUUUAAAUCAAAAAUAUUUAUAUGAAGAAGAAAAUAAAUAUUUAUUAAAUGAUAAAAAUGAUAAAUAUAUAUCAAAUCAUGUAAAUUCAAAUUAUGCACAAAAUAUUAUUAAUAAAAAUAUUAAUUCCAAAGAACAUAUGAUAGAAAAUAAAAAUAUGUUUCCAAAUUUAAAAUACCAGUAUGCAAAUGUAAAUUAUGAAAAUUCCUUUUUUCUUAAUUUUGAUAAAAUAUUUUAUGAAACAGUCAAAAAUAAAAAAAGCUCUUAUAACUUUUAUUUCGAUACAAUUUAU